Molecule: long non-coding RNA, 322 nt
Organism: Tyto alba (common barn owl)
Lineage: Eukaryota; Metazoa; Chordata; Aves; Strigiformes; Tytonidae
Exons: 2
Source: RefSeq, a predicted model, not a curated record
GGUUAGGACGGCGGGAGCCGCCGCCUCUCCCUUCCCCUCGCCCGGCGGGGGGGACCGGGCCCCGCGGCCGCCCCGCCUCCCGCCCCGCUCCUCACGCAAGGUGCGGGGCACCGCCAGAGGCGACACCGGAAUACCCUGUGGACCUCAGUCUCCCACUCGGAGAAAAAACUCCCGUUAUUAUUGAUGAGCUUUACACAAGGAUUGACAAACAGCCAAAAAUUUUGGCCCUGUGAAUCAUAUGGAUGUCGAUAACAGGCUUGGUGUGCUCAUGACAGAACGAUCAGAGACAUUAUUUUAUUCAUUAAAAUAAUGCGAUAUUGAA